Molecule: ribosomal RNA, 465 nt
Filed under: uncultured bacterium
Lineage: Bacteria
Description: partial 16S ribosomal RNA
Rfam family: Bacterial small subunit ribosomal RNA
Source: RNAcentral
GACGAACGCUGGCGGCGUGCUUAACACAUGCAAGUCGAACGGAAAGGCCCCUUUGGGGGUACUCGAGUGGCGAACGGGUGAGUAACACGUGAGUAACCUUCCCUUGACUUCGUGAUAACUUCAGGAAACUGGGGCUAAUACCGGAUAGGAAUCCUUGCUGCAUGGUGGGGGUUGGAAAGCUUCGGCGGUUUUGGAUGGACUCGCGGCUUAUCAGCUUGUUGGUGGGGUAGUGGCUUACCAAGGCAUUGACGGGUAGCCGGACUGAGGGGGCGACCGGCCACACUGAGACUGAGAUACGGCCCAGACGCCUACGGGAGGAAGCAGUGGGGAAUAUUGCACAAGGGGCGGAAGCCUGAUGCAGAAACGCCGCGGGCGGGAUGACGGCCUUGGGGUUGUAAACCGCUUUCAGCAGGGGCGAAGCUUGUGGUGACGGUACCUGAAGAAGAAGCACCGGCUAACUACGUG